UCAGUUGACCAGUCCGCCAGCCGA
RNAcentral lists this non-coding RNA (24 nucleotides) under Arabidopsis thaliana (thale cress). Lineage: Eukaryota; Viridiplantae; Streptophyta; Magnoliopsida; Brassicales; Brassicaceae. The record is from RNAcentral.